Non-coding RNA from Citrus sinensis (sweet orange), 107 nucleotides. NCBI's taxonomy places the organism in Eukaryota, Viridiplantae, Streptophyta, Magnoliopsida, Sapindales, Rutaceae. The record is from Rfam.
AAACUAUGGUGGGGACACUUAAAGAGUAAAUCAAUAAAUCUUUCCCAACACUCAUAAAAUUGCUCACCCACUCUUUGAUAAAACUCACUUAUCUCUCACCUAAGGGU